AUGCACGUUCCCCAGUGGAUCAAGGAUUACUUCAACGGCCUUGGCUCCUUGGAUAUCAGGAUCGGCAAACUGGAGGAGGAGCAGGAUCUCAAGAUUCUGCGGGAGAUGCCCAACCUGUGCAUACUCACGCUAAGGCUCGAAGUCGUCCCCAGAGAGCCCAUAGCCGUCAGCGGUGAAGGGUUCCCAAGGCUCUUGAAACUGAUUGUCGACUGCCGCAUGCCACGGGUUAUCACCUUCCAGGAAGGAGCGAUGCCGAUGCUGGAAGUUCUCGAAUUUGAGUUCCAGUUCUACGGUGGCCCACCUCCACCUGCAAAUGAAGACUACCCUCCGGUUCUGGGUAUCAAGCACCUCCGGAACCUCUUCGGUGUCGAGUUUAGAUGCAACCAGCAAUGGUAUGGAGGAGCAGCAGAGAGCAUGAGCGCCAUGAUUGACGUGGUGAGGAAAGAAGCCCGGGAGCAUCCCAACAAGAUCUACUUUCAUGUCACUGGCUGCGCGAUCGAGGUUUUCCUAGCAAAGGAGAGCUUGGCACGGGAGGUUUCCAGCAGCAGCAGUCGGACUGGCGCUGAGUCUUUUCCGGAGAAGAAUAGUGCACAGGAGGUUUCAAGCAGCAGUGGGACGGGCGAGAUCAAGGAGGAGGAGGAGGAGGAGGAGAUCCUGGAAGCAGCAGCGAGCAGCGUGAUUGGGUUUCUUGCUUGA
RNAcentral lists this ribosomal RNA (696 nucleotides) under Triticum aestivum (bread wheat). RNAcentral describes it as "partial small subunit ribosomal RNA". Lineage: Eukaryota; Viridiplantae; Streptophyta; Magnoliopsida; Poales; Poaceae. The record is from RNAcentral.